UAGUUUGAUGGGUGGUGUACGUAUCUCUAGGUCACUGGUAGCUAUGGUAGUUUGCUGGGUGGUGUACGUAUCUCUAGGUCACUGGUAGCUAUGGUAGUUUGCUGGGUGGUGUACGUAUCUCUAGGUCACUGGUAGCUAUGGUAGUUUGCUGGGUGGUGUACGUAUCUCUAGGUCACUGGUAGCUAUGGUAGUUUGAUGGGUGGUGUACGUAUCUCUAGGUCACUGGUAGCUAUGGUAGUUUGAUGGGUGGUGUACGUAUCUCUAGAUCACUAGGUCACUGGUAGCUAUGGUAGUUUGCUGGGUGGUGUACGUAUCUCUAGGUCACUGGUAGCUAUGGUAGUUUGCUGGGUGGUGUACGUAUCUCUAGGUCACUGGUAGCUAUGGUAGUUUGCUGGGUGGUGUACGUAUCUCUAGGUCACUGGUAGCUAUGGUAGUUUGCUGGGUGGUGUACGUAUCUCUAGGUCACUGGUAGCUAUGGUAGUUUGCUGGGUGGUGUACGUAUCUCUAGGUCACUGGUAGCUAUGGUAGUUUGAUGGGUGGUGUACGUAUCUCUAGGUCACUGGUAGCUAUGGUAGUUUGAUGGGUGGUGUACGUAUCUCUCGGUCACU
Haliotis rubra (blacklip abalone) is the source of this 608-nucleotide long non-coding RNA. RefSeq lists it as uncharacterized. The record is from RefSeq and is a predicted model, not a curated record. The transcript is spliced from 5 exons. Lineage: Eukaryota; Metazoa; Mollusca; Gastropoda; Lepetellida; Haliotidae.